RNAcentral lists this ribosomal RNA (253 nucleotides) under uncultured bacterium. RNAcentral describes it as "partial 16S ribosomal RNA". It matches the Rfam family "Bacterial small subunit ribosomal RNA", at positions 524 to 776 of the family's 1533-position model. The record is from RNAcentral.
UACGUAGGGUGCAAGCGUUGUCCGGAUUUAUUGGGCGUAAAGAGCGUGUAGGCGGCUUUACAGGUCCGUUGUGAAAACUCGAGGCUCAACCUCGAGACGCCGGUGGAAACCGUAAGGCUAGAGUCCGGAAGAGGAGAGUGGAAUUCCUGGUGUAGCGGUGAAAUGCGCAGAUAUCAGGAAGAACACCCGUGGCGAAGGCGGCUCUCUGGGACGGUACUGACGCUGAGGCUCGAAAGCGUGGGGAGCAAACAGG